UACGGAGGGUGCGAGCGUUGUCCGGAAUCACUGGGCGUAAAGGGCGCGUAGGCGGUCGGCUAUGUCGGAUGUGAAAGCCUCGGGCUUAACCCGAGAAGGGCAUCCGAAACUGGCCGGCUUGAGUACGGAAGAGGGUCUCGGAAUUCCCGGUGUAGAGGUGAAAUUCGUAGAUAUCGGGAGGAACACCAGUGGCGAAGACGGAGACCUGGGCCGAUACUGACGCUGAGGUGCGAAAGCGUGGGGAGCAAACAGG
This 253-nucleotide ribosomal RNA is filed under the name uncultured bacterium. RNAcentral describes it as "partial 16S ribosomal RNA". It matches the Rfam family "Bacterial small subunit ribosomal RNA", at positions 524 to 776 of the family's 1533-position model. The record is from RNAcentral.